AACAUAUUCGAGGUGGUACUAAAUUUUGUCUCUUCGAUUGACCGCUACCUUCUUUCUUGAUCGCUUAGCUGGGCUGCGAUCCAGUUGGGCCUUGGCCCACAGUUUCUUCGAUGCCUACUCUGCUCAAUCCGUAUGGACAUGGCGCCGGUGGCAGCGGCCGGUCUUCUUCUCUGGAUUAAUCUCUUCUCUCGCCAUCCUCUCGAAACCUCGCGCACCUCCCCACCGCUCCCGCCCCGCCCUCUCCUCCAUCCGGUUUCGCCGCCCUGCCUCCUCCUUCCAGCCCUUCGGCCUCCUCCCUGCCCCUCCCCGUCAGCCCCCGUAUCCUGCCCUGCGGCUCGUCCUGGGCUUGUGGCUGCACUUCGAGGUCAUCCUUUCUGGACACGGGUCUAGGCGGAGAUGGCGCUGCUCCUGCAACUUCGAAGAAGGCACCGGGCCAAUCUACCAGACGUCAUCUACAUCCGCAGGUCUUAGCUCCCCAGAAUCCAUCGCUUGUUCUUCUUUGGUCCAAUCUGGACUGUUAAUUCCGUCAAGAGAUUCGCUCACUCAGGCAAAGCGGCUCAUGUGCCGCCGCAUUGGAGUCCAAUUUGAGGAGCCGGUCGCCAACCCCGCGGAUCUCCUCUCCUGCUAUGCUGACUGCUUCAAGAUCCCCUCUCCAUCUCCCAGAUCGACGCCCUGACACAGCUUUCAACUCAUGCCAUUGGGGGUAAGAAGAUUCUGAAGAAUACAAUCGCCUGAGUCUCAGUUCACUGUUUGUCUCAGCCUGUACCCAUGUCGUUUGUGUUUCUUUUAUUAGUGGCAAUUUCCUUGUGUGGAAUGUCAGGGGGCUUAACUCCCCGGCGAGAAGAGCGGCUGUCAGUGUGUUUGUUAGUCAUAAUGAUGUGUGUAUGAUCUGUUUGCAAGAAACCAAAAUGUCCGUGUUUGAUCUUAAUUUGGUGAAGGAGAUUUGUGGUGCUUCUUUCUCGGGAUUUGCCUAUUCCCCAUCUGAUGGAGCAAGUGGAGGGUUGCUAAUAGCCUGGGCAGAUUACGUUGUGGUUUCCUCUAUCCAAUGUUCCAAAAUUUUCAACUCUGCUAUAUGUGAAAGCAGAGCAAACGGGUUAGUUUGGCAGAUGGUUAACGUCUAUGGCCCCCAAUUUUUCUCUGACAAGAUGGACUUUCUUGCUGACCUGCAGCAAAUUGGGAUUAACUGCCCUGGCCCGCUCUUGUUCUUGGCGAUUUUUCAAUAUGAUUGCUGCAGCUAAGGAUAAGAACAAUGGUAAUCUCAACAGGGGUCUGAUACACAUGGAGAAAUGAACAAUUCAACACAAUUCUUGUCAGGCUUAAUUGAUUCCUGUAUAACCAACCGUGGUGUGAGGCUGCACCCAAUGCCAUGUUGCAGGCCCUCUCUGAAGAAGACCGCUACAUUGAAUUUUGACGCUCUUGGUUUUCAACCUUGUAAGCUGCUGGAACUAGAGCGCCCUUCACCGAAGAGGAAAUAAAAUAGGCCGUAUUUGAUAUGCAUCCUGAAAAGGUGCCCGGGCCAGAUGGUUUCACCGGAAUGUGGGAAUUCAUCAUGGGUGUUGUGACGCUCCAUUAUUGCGAUUCGAAGACUCCAUCAUGGGUGUUGUUAUAUAUUAAAAAUAUGAGUGCAGAGGAAACUUACUAUGUGUUGUUGCCCUAUUCUUUUAUAGCUGUGUCUGAUCUCAAGCAGCUCAUCUUGACGAGCCGUGGUAGAGGCGCAGGGAUGAGAUCUCUCUCUCCAACGCUUGAUAAGGUUCGUUUUACACCGAGUAGCUUUAUUUAAGUCAUGGUUAGUCUAUACAACAGCAUUCAAUCAUGUAAAAUUCUGGAAAUUUGGAUUAACAACUCUGCUUACCACCUAAGUUGUUUGAUCUGAUAAAAUCUUGUGUACACCAUAAGUUAGUUAUUUUGCCUAUUGAGAUCUGUUUCAGGACAGGUGGUUCUAGCUUUAUUGCCAGGUUCAUCAUUGCUUGAUUCUGGAUUUUUGCUGUAGCCUUUAGGUUAACUUUAUGUGGUAGGCCUAACACCUAAUUUAUACUGAAGUAAUUUAAAUAAGCUAUAAGGUUUAAGAGAAAUCCUACCAAUAAAGAAAAUAAUCAGGUUGGUCAAGGUGAGGGGAAUGUGCCCCCUCCAGUAUUACAUUACAUCCGAUACUAAUCUAAUUAGAUGCAUGCUCACUAGAAUGCCUCAUUUUUCUUGUAGUUUGCGGGGCUGUAAAUUUAGUAGACAUAGAGACUAAUCCUUGAUAAUAUUCCAGUUCCAGUGAGACUGAACGACCUUUUCAAUAACAUACUGAUUUACAAUAUUGAACUACAACCACUAGCUAGCUGUUGAUUCCAUAAACAAGUGCUAUUCACAGUGACACUGUUUUCGCUUCAUUGCUCACUUUGGACUGCGCUUCAUUGCUCACUUUGGACUACACCAUAAAGUAGACUUGGAUGAAGGUUAAGUGGCAACACUGGUGGGGUGCCGUGUUAAAAUAGAGGGCAUGGAUCUUGGGGGGUCUAUGUUAUUUUCGUGGUUACUACCCGGUAGCCACAAUUACUGACCACUGAUUAAUUCAAAAUUUAAACAUUUCUUACAACACCUGAAUAUGUCCAUCAUUCAGUAUACAUCUAUGACUAGGAACAUAAGAUGCCUUAAUCCACAACCCCAGGCAACACGAACCUCUACAAAGAAUAAUUAGGAGAAAGUGAGAUGUUUGCCCCGUUGCAAUGCACCGACUCUUUUCAUUAGAUGACAUUUUUUGAACCCCCCAAAAAUAUGACAUUUUUAAGAACAUUUCUCUAUUAAGAAAAGACAUGUUUUUAUUAAGCCGGACAAUGUACUAGGUUUAAGAAAAAAAAGUUUUGGGUUUAGGAUAGAAUUGUUCUAGAUUUUGGGAAGAUUGUUACAGAUCCACAAGAAAAUGUCCUAACUUUAGGAAAUUAAUUAUCCAUUUUUGGGUUCUUGGUUAAUAAGCUGGUCACAAUGUUUAUUUUUUAUUUUUUUUAACCCAAUAGAUUCCGGGUCCUUAUGUUUCUCAGACUACAUAUGCCUUGCAUUAACAGUGGACAAUAAGUACACCUGCUACAGUGGAUGUGGUAAUAAAACUAACAAACCCGCAAACCAAACAAUGCAAACAUUUGUUAGCCAUUUUGCAAAGAUGGUUCGGCCGAAAGCAUAAUUCUUCAUGUUGAGAUUAGUUCAUGUGGGUCAUGAGUCAAAAAAUUAUUCGUGUAAUUGGCUAUGGUUACGGGGUGUGAUGAUUUUUUUUCCCGAUGCAACGCACGGACAUUUUUGCUAAGUAAUAAUAAAGCACGGAUUGAGCUGUCGGGUUCACCGUCGCUGAGUUUUUACAGAAAAACCCGUGUAGUUUUUGAUAACUGAACCCGCAGUCCCUAUUUUAGUGAAUCUUGAAAAAUGUUUCGAUUUUGCAUUAAACUCCCUAUAGUUUUGUAUAUUCACCCCGCAGUCCUUCAAAAAACGCAUCACCCUUCAUCAUCCGCACGCAAGAGCGGGCGCACCCCCGCCGGCGGCGGCGCCGCCUUCCUCGUGGAGUCCGCGGCCAAAUUCCACGCCGGGAGUAGCGGUCUCCAUCUCUCCAACUCCUCCCUCUCCCUCGAGCCUCGACCUCCCCGGCAACCUUCCUCCCCUCCCAAGUCUAGGAGACGCAUGGGGGCGGCGGCGGCGAGGCCCCCUCACCAUGGCUAGGGUUUCGGGCGCCUCCAUACUGGCAUGGCUCCGGCGCCUCUGGCGGCUCCUCUCCGACGCCCACCACGCCCCCACACGCAGCUCCUUCUCUAGGAUGAUGCUCCUCCUCCCGGUGGCCAUGGGGGCAAGGAUUGGAUGUUUGAGGAAGGAGGGGCCGACCUUGCCUUGCUGCAGCUCGGGACGCAACACCCAUGGAGCUUCCUCCUUUCUGUCUUCAGGUGUUUGAGGCAUCAACAAGCGACGACAGGGUUCGACAUUGGUUGAGCUAGCUACUGGGGACGCCUCUUUCUCAAUUAUCUCUAUCUCCGUCUCUAUCAUGAUAUUUAGAAGCCAUCUAUUAAUGUCGUCAAUGCCUAAUUCCAAAAUCCCGUCUCGCUCGCUCUCGAUACCCCGUCCCUCUCUAGAGUUACGGGAUGCGCCGCCGCCGCCAGCAUGGUCCCAACGGCCACCGUGAGUCUCCCCGGUCGACGUCCCCAUCCGUCUAUGCUCCGAGCUCGACGGUUCCAGUAAGACAAUAGGCAAUGGUGACAGUGAGGUGACAUUUCGUAGUGCUGUCGAUGUCAAGUAUGUCGAAAAUUGUUGUCUUUUUAUUCCUCAUUUACUUAUUUAUUUCACAUUUACUUAGCCAACUUAUUUUACUACCUGGGGUGUUCUGUAGUUUUGUUUCUAAAACAGAUUGUGUUUUGUUUUGUUCUGGAGUGUUGGUACCGAUGCAUAAAACUACUGCAUCUAAAAUGGCAUGGUAUUAAUAUUUUUAGUUUUAAAAGAAUGCCACUUGCCUUAAGCUCUCAGUAAAUCAAAAUAUGUACUGACGUUAUCUACACUUGAAUAUUGUAUUUUAUCAACACUUGAAUAUGCAUUAUGAUUUAGUGCACAUUCAGCAAAUAGUCAAUGGAUCAGUAUUUUCCGGAAACUUUCUAUUCCAUAUGAAGUUAUGUUUUCAGCUUGAUAUAUUAAUAAUAUGUUUACCAUAUUUCUUGUAAAUGUCUAUUUGAGAACUUUGCAGCUAAAUUGGUGCCUGUAUAUUAUAGAAGACACUUGAAAAUGGAUUCAGCAUGGUUCCUGCAGUCCCAACUUUUCAUUGUUGACUUCACGUCAAAAAACAAUUAUUCAUCAUGGGCAGAGUCAUGGUUGUUCGUGACUAUGCAAGAAGAUGAUCGAGGGUCGGCGGCGUUGCUGCUUCGUCGUCAUCUUUGAUGAGCACCGUCCAACACAAUUUUCCGCUGGCAUGUUCCAUGGAAUGUGACUGCUUUCAUCAUGGCAUCCAACACUUGCAGAUGUGACUCAAAAGGGGGUUCUGAAGCUGAUGAACUUGGAUGGCCUGACAGUCUAACAUACCAACAACCAUCUCCAAAUACACGAACUUGAAGAAUUUCUUAGUUUCAUACACACCUUCAGAAUUUUUUUUCCAGUAAAGAUCAGGGUGCCAGCAGUGUUUCCAUUAUGUUUCAGGAGAAAUUUGGAUCUUUUUGGACAGUUAUUCCAGCCAACUUUCUGAAUGAGUAUAAAAACAACACUAUGAGUACAAAGAGGAGAUAAAAGGAGUAUUGGAAAGCUUAAAACCAGCCCCCCGAAACCACUCUGGCUCGAGAAAGAAGAAAAUAUUUCACAUGAUCUGUCCGAUCUACUACAGGGUAACCAUAUCGGUUAGAUGAAACCAAGAACUUUGGGAUGUACGAGAGCAGUGGUGGCCAGCAGCAAGUAACAGAGGCAACAGUUCUUUUGGUGCAUUGUUAGGAAAGUUCUUCUGAGUGAUUUCAUGUUUCUGCUCUGUCUAUUUGUCACUUGAUAUUCCGAGUGCCCACUAUCAUCUGAAUAUGAAGUAACAUGAAAGUCAGUUUUUUCGAAUGUAUCUUUUUCAAUCUGCUCGGAUUGAUAGCUUACGCGAGUGACAUUUAGAAUGAUAAUUCACAUAUCAUUUUUGUAUUUAAGCUGCCCGUAAAAGAAAAAACAAGCGUUCCUUCGAA
Molecule: non-coding RNA, 5657 nt
Organism: Aegilops tauschii subsp. strangulata
Lineage: Eukaryota; Viridiplantae; Streptophyta; Magnoliopsida; Poales; Poaceae
Source: RefSeq, a predicted model, not a curated record